CAUACCUAUGUCUCACUUUUUGACAGACCAAAACACAACCAGAUGCUCUGCAGGGUGCAGCUUUAUACGACCGCAAAUGUUGAACACUGAACAGUUGGGGCAAGUAUGGACACAACAUUCAAGCUUGAUACAGCUCUGAAUUUGGAUUGUGAUUAAAUAGUUGACACAGCAUAGGUUUCUGACACAGAAUGAAUGUGGUCUAAUGAACUU
RNAcentral lists this long non-coding RNA (210 nucleotides) under Mytilus galloprovincialis (Mediterranean mussel). Lineage: Eukaryota; Metazoa; Mollusca; Bivalvia; Mytilida; Mytilidae. The record is from RNAcentral.